UAGUCCACGCCGUAAACGAUGGUCACUAGUUGUUGGGGUCUUGUACCUCAGUGAUUAAGAGAAAUUGAUAAGUGACCCACCUGGGGAGUACGAUCGCAAGAUUGAAACUCAAAGGAAUUGACGGGGCCCGCACAAGCGGUGGAGCAUGUGGUUUAAUUCGAUGCAACGCGAAGAACCUUACCUGGUCUUGACAUCCUGCGAACUUUCUAGAGAUAGAUUGGUGCCUUCGGGAACGCAGUGACAGGUGCUGCAUGGCUGUCGUCAGCUCGUGUUGUGAAAUGUUGGGUUAAGUCCCGUAACGAGCGCAACCCUUAUCCUUAUUUGCCAGCACUUCGGGUGGGAACUCUAAGGAGACUGCCGGUGACAAACCGGAGGAAGGUGGGGACGACGUCAAGUCAUCAUGGCCCUUACGACCAGGGGCUACACACGUGCUACAAUGGGCAAGUACAAAGGGGACGCUAAGCCGCGAGGUGGAGCUAAUCCCAGAAAA
Molecule: ribosomal RNA, 490 nt
Filed under: uncultured bacterium
Lineage: Bacteria
Description: bacterial SSU rRNA
Rfam family: Bacterial small subunit ribosomal RNA
Source: RNAcentral